UACAGAGGUCUCAAGCGUUGUUCGGAUUCAUUGGGCGUAAAGGGUGCGUAGGUGGCGCCGUAAGUCAGGUGUGAAAUUUCGGAGCUUAACUCCGAAACUGCAUUUGAUACUGCGGUGCUUGAGGACUGGAGAGGAGACUGGAAUUCACGGUGUAGCAGUGAAAUGCGUAGAUAUCGUGAGGAAGACCAGUGGCGAAGGCGGGUCUCUGGGACGGUACUGACGCUGAGACGCGAAAGCGUGGGGAGCGAACAGG
RNAcentral lists this ribosomal RNA (253 nucleotides) under uncultured bacterium. Its description in RNAcentral is "partial 16S ribosomal RNA". It matches the Rfam family "Bacterial small subunit ribosomal RNA", at positions 524 to 776 of the family's 1533-position model. The record is from RNAcentral.